UCACCAACACCAAGAAGCCCUGUGAACAUGGACACUCUUUAACACGUCGUGCUGUCCUACCCUCGGCUGUCUGGCUGGGCCCCGCAUUGUCCUCACCAGUGCAGCAGGGACCCCAGUGAGCAAUGCCCGGCCCGUGCCAGAACCCGGCACCCAGGAGGAGCCAGCGCCACGUCCGUACUUCCCAGAGACGUGGCUGUGGGACCUGGUGCCUGUGGGCGAGGGGGGCUCCAAGGACGUC
Molecule: long non-coding RNA, 238 nt
Organism: Mauremys mutica (yellowpond turtle)
Lineage: Eukaryota; Metazoa; Chordata; Testudines; Geoemydidae
Exons: 3
Source: RefSeq, a predicted model, not a curated record